CAUCUACGCGUACGGGUGUUGAGAGACAUCGCCCGGAGAUGGAUUCUGAGACACGAAUCCAGACCCUACGGGGUGCAGCAGGCGCGAAAACUUGGCAAUGCGAGCAAUCGUGACCAGGGAACUCCAAGUGCAUCGGGUAAGACCGAUGCUUUUCUUGACUCUUCAAAGGUCUUGGAAUAAGGGGUGGGUAAGGACGGUGCCAGCCGCCGCGGUAAUACCGGCGCCUCAAGUGGUAGUCGCUUUUAUUGGGCCUAAAACGUCCGUAGCCGGUUUGGUACAUUCGUGGGUAAAUCAAGACGCUCAACGUCUUGAAUUCUGCGAGCACGGCCAGACUUGGGACCGGGUGAGGUGUGGGGUACUCUCAGGGUAGGGGUAAAAUCCUGUCAUCCUGAGAGGACCACCUGUUGCGAAGGCGCCACACUAGAACGG
Molecule: ribosomal RNA, 429 nt
Filed under: uncultured euryarchaeote
Lineage: Archaea; Methanobacteriati; Methanobacteriota
Description: bacterial SSU rRNA
Rfam family: Archaeal small subunit ribosomal RNA
Source: RNAcentral